GGCAACGUGGCGGAGUGGUUAUCGCGCUAGCCUAGAACUAAUUGGUUGUCAAGCUAGUUCCUUCGGGAGCGUCAGUUCGAGUCUGGCCGUUGUCG
This 95-nucleotide transfer RNA is filed under the name Blumeria hordei DH14. RNAcentral describes it as "tRNA-Ser for anticodon AGA". It matches the Rfam family "tRNA". Rfam says of the family: Transfer RNA (tRNA) molecules are approximately 80 nucleotides in length. The record is from Rfam by way of RNAcentral. Lineage: Eukaryota; Fungi; Ascomycota; Leotiomycetes; Helotiales; Erysiphaceae.